UGGCCUUAUUUAUACAAACAAGAAAGCAUGAAUUUGUGAUGAUAUAGAGGUGGAAAUCAAGGGCUUUCCAUAACUUCUUUCCUUAUCUGGAUUCGAAUAUGCUGUGAUCUUUUUUCUUGUUUAGAUUUCGUUAAGAAUUUAAUUUUUAAAUUCAAAUUUUUUUUGCCAAAUAUCCAUUCACAAUGAAAGGAUUGAUUUUGUGCCAUAUCAUAUGCUCCCUAAUUCUGAGCCCAAGCCAUUUUCCUCGAUUCGAACGAAGGAAGGAGUAUG
Molecule: long non-coding RNA, 270 nt
Filed under: Elaeis guineensis (African oil palm)
Lineage: Eukaryota; Viridiplantae; Streptophyta; Magnoliopsida; Arecales; Arecaceae
Description: long non-coding RNA (EGUI_LNC015753)
Source: RNAcentral